AUUACUGGGCGUAAGCGUGCGCAGACGGUUCGGAAAGAAAGAUGUGAAAUCCCAGAGCUUAACUUUGGAACUGCAUUUUUAACUACCGGGCUAGAGUGUGUCAGAGGGAGGUGGAAUUCCGCGUGUAGCAGUGAAAUGCGUAGAUAUGCGGAGGAACACCGAUGGCGAAGGCAGCCUCCUGGGAUAACACUGACGCUCAUGCACGAAAGCGUGGGGAGCAAACAGGAUUAGAUACCCUGGUAGUCCACGCCCUAAACGAUGUCAACUAGCUGUUGGGGCCUUCGGGCCUUGGUAGCGCAGCUAACGCGUGAAAGUUGACCGCCUGGGGGAGUACGGUCGCAAGAUUAAAACUCGAAGGAAUUGACGGGGACCCGCACAAGCGGUGUAUGAUGUGGAUUAAUUCGAUGCAACGCGAAAAACCUUACCUACCCUUGUCGUGUCUGGAAUGCCGAAGAGAUUUGGCAGUGCUGCGAGAGAACCGGAACACAGUGCUGCAUGGCUGUCGUUCAGCUCGUGUCGUGAGAUGUUGGGUUAAGUCCCGCAACGAGCGCAACCCUUGUCAUUAGUUGCUAGAAAGGGCACUCUAAUGAGACUUCCGGUGACAAACCGGAGAAGGUGGGGAUGACGUCAAGUCCUCAU
RNAcentral lists this ribosomal RNA (639 nucleotides) under Achromobacter xylosoxidans. Its description in RNAcentral is "bacterial SSU rRNA". It matches the Rfam family "Bacterial small subunit ribosomal RNA", at positions 550 to 1196 of the family's 1533-position model. Lineage: Bacteria; Pseudomonadati; Pseudomonadota; Betaproteobacteria; Burkholderiales; Alcaligenaceae. The record is from RNAcentral.